RNAcentral lists this small RNA (124 nucleotides) under Marmota monax (woodchuck). Lineage: Eukaryota; Metazoa; Chordata; Mammalia; Rodentia; Sciuridae. The record is from RNAcentral.
GCCAGGUGCAGUGGUGGAUACCUGUAAUCCCAGCUGCUCAGGAGGCUGAGGCAGGAGGAUCUUGAGUUCAAGCCAACCUCAGCAAAUGCAAGGUGCUAAGCAACUCAGUGAGACCCUGUCUCUA